This 250-nucleotide ribosomal RNA is filed under the name uncultured bacterium. RNAcentral's name for it is "partial 16S ribosomal RNA". It matches the Rfam family "Bacterial small subunit ribosomal RNA", at positions 355 to 621 of the family's 1533-position model. The record is from RNAcentral.
UAGGGAAUUUUCCACAAUGGACGAAAGUCUGAUGGAGCAACGCCGCGUGCAGGAUGAAUGCCUUAGGGUUGUAAACUGCUUUUAUAUGUGACGAUUAUGACGGUAGCAUAUGAAUAAGGAUCGGCUAACUCCGUGCCAGCAGCCGCGGUCAUACGGAGGAUCCAAGCGUUAUCCGGAAUUACUGGGCGUAAAGAGUUGCGUAGGUGGCAGAGUAAGCAGAUAGUGAAAGCGUCCCGCUCAACGGGAUAUC